CUUUAUUGAGUAGAUUGAUUAUAGUGGUAUGAAGAAUGGAGAGUAGAGAAGAGAUGCAACACAGUUUUUACGUGGUUCGGCAAAAUAGAAGCCUACAUCCACGAGGAAGGAUCUCCUUUUUCUUAUUGAAGAUGAGUUACAAAUUCACUACUUUUCUCUCUUUUCCUCUUUUACAUGGAAGUAUGAAUAUUUCUAAAAACUCCUUUGAUAGAGAACAACCUUUAUAUAUUUAUAGGUGUUUUACAUAAGUAAGGUUGUUAAAAAAAAAAGAGGAAUGUAAAAAUAUAUGUGUUGGAAUUCAUUAGUUUUCCUUUAUUUUGAUGAGAGCAUACCCUACACAUCCGAACACUUUAAGGUCACUUAGACUUGGUGGAUGUUUGGACCACUUUUCCUCAGGUGUUAGGAGACCUAAGGAGGUAUGAGAGCUUCUGUUCAACGUGUGCAUAACAUAGGCAGCAACUUCAGCCCAAAACUUUUCUUCUAGGAUGGCAUCUAAUAAUAGACACCUUACCCUUUCCAUUAUAGUUCUGUUUAGUCUUUCUGCUACUCCGUUUUGUUGGGGUGUGUAGGUCAUUGUUUUGUGUCUUGUUAUUCCACUUUGCCUGCAAAAGUUAUUAAACACCUCUCCACAAAACUCCAAACCAUUGUCAGUUCUAAGAUAUUUAACAUUUUAUCAGUUUGUUUUUCUAUCAUUAGUUUCCAUUCUUUAAAUUUUUCAAAAACUUGAUCUUUAGUUUUUAAGAAAUAGAUCCAACUUUUUCUAGAAAAAUCAUCAGUAAAAGAUAGAAAAUACCUUGAGCCACUUAGGCUUGGAGUGGAUGUUGGACCCCAUAGAUCCGAAUGGAUGUAGUCUAGGAUUCCUUUUGUUGUGUGUUGUGCUUUGGUGAAGUUUUGUUUUCUUGUUUUGCCUAGUACACAGUGUUCACAAAAGGACAGUUUGCUGCAUGUGUCUUGAGGCAGAAUCCCUGUUUAGAUAGUGCCUCAAGUCCUUUCUGACUAAUAUGGGACAAUCUUUUAUGCCAAAGAUCAGCUUCUGUUAGGCGUUUAGAGAUAAAACUGUAUUUGCCUCCUCUAUCAUUUCUACUCCUUUUAUUAUGAACAAAUCAUUUACCUUUUCCCCAACCAAGACUAACUUAGAUCCCAUAAAGACUUCGAAAACUCCACAUUUCCCUUUGUAUUCACACCCUAGAGAGUCUAACAUUCCUAGGGAGAUUAAAUUUCUUUUGAGGCGAGGAACAUGUCUAACAUUUCUAAGGAGUUUUACAGUCCCAUCUUUUAGUUUCAUCUGAUCCAAUUCCAGCAAUGUUUCAUUAUUAUUCCCCAUGAACACAAAUUCUCCACUGAUCUCUCUAUAGGUAUUGAACCAUGCUCUAAAAGGUAUCAUAUGGUAGGUGCAUCCUGAGUCUAGGACCCAAUCAUGUUUUCCUAAGGGGUUGACAUGGUUGGUCUAAGGUUGAUGCCAAGGCAUCUGUGUAGGUAAAAGAGCUUUCUACUAUAGACACUUCUGGUUGUUUCCCUUUAGAAUCUUUUUUUUCUUCUUGAUUCUUUCUUUUAAGAAAAAAACAUUCUUAUAUGAGGUGUCCCUUCUUUUUACAGUAUUUACAUUUCUUUUUCUGUUUUCCUUUCUUGUCUUCAUUAGAAAAGAUUUGUUACUGUUUUUACUUUGAUUGUUUUGGGGUUUACCUUUGACAAACAAUCCAUCACCACUAUGAUUUUCUUUGUGUGAUGAAUGUAUUUCUAAUUCUCUAGUUCUUAGAGCUGAUAUUAUGACAUCUAUUUUUACUGAGUCUCUUCCAUAUUUUAGAGCAUUUUUUACUUCUUUGUAUGCCUCGGGUAAAGAAUCUAAAAGGACAAAUGCCUCAUUUUCAUCACUUAGUUUGUCACUCAAGGGUUUUAAAAUCUGAAACUAUUUUCUUGAAUUCUUCUAAGUUUUCAGAUAAGGUUUUAGAAGGAUCCAUUUUAUAUGUGAAAUUUUUUUCCCUUAGGUACAUUUUGUUUGGGAGAUCUUUAGAGGCAUAUAGGCUUUCUAGUUUCAUCCAAACUUUAUGUGUUGUUUCUUCUUCUAAAACUUGCCUAAUUAUGUUGUCACUAAGGUUUAGUAUUAGUGUUCCAUAGGCAAUUAAUUUCAUUUCUUCUUUUUGUGCUGCUGUGAGGGUUGUUGGAAGUUCUGAAGGAUCAAAAAGGGCUUUAUGAGACUUUUGCUGUCCAAGCAAGACUUUGAUCUUUGCUUUCCAUAAUGCAAAGUCUCCCUUUCCAUCAAACUUCUCAAUUUCUACUCUUGCUAUAGCCAUUUUCUGGUCUGUCUUUCUUUAAUUUUCUCCAAGAUUCAGUUUCUUGAAUUUCAAGAACCUUGCUUUGAUACCAAUUUGUUGGGCCUAAAGGUGUAAUUUUGGUUUGGGCCUCUAUUUAGUGUAGGAUGAAAGAAAACUUGGAGGAGAAGGAGACAUGUAGGUAUACUUGCAGCCGUACACGCGUGAAGAAGGGAAAUUAUUAUUUCUGCAUGUUGCAGAAAAGGAAAGAAAAGAAAAUUAGGAAAAGAAAGGGGAAAUUAGAGAAAUAUUGAUUACAGUGGUAUGAAGAAUGGAGAGUAGAGAAGAGAUGCAACACAGUUUUUACGUGGUUCGGUAAAAUAGAAGCCUACAUCCACGAGGAAGAAUCUCCUUUUUCUUAUUGAAGAUGAGUUACAAAUUCACUCUUUUUCUCUCUUUUCCUCUUUUACAUGGAAGUAUGAAUAUUUCUAAAAACUCCUUUGAUAGAGAACACCUUUUAUAUUUAUAGGUGUUUUACAUAAGGAAGGUUGUUAAAAAAAAAGGAGGAAUGUAAAAAUAUAUGUGUUGGAAUUCAUUAAUUUUAACAACUACUUAUGAAAUAUAUUGAAUUUGCUAUAUAAUGCCUCACUCUGAUGGCAAGCCCUCCAAAUGUAGGCGUUGUUGCACCAAACUGGGUUACCAA
This is a long non-coding RNA of Cucumis sativus (cucumber), 2952 nucleotides long. RefSeq lists it as uncharacterized. The transcript is spliced from 2 exons. The record is from RefSeq and is a predicted model, not a curated record. NCBI's taxonomy places the organism in Eukaryota, Viridiplantae, Streptophyta, Magnoliopsida, Cucurbitales, Cucurbitaceae.